CACGAAGUUAGCCGGGGCUUAUUCCUCCGGUACCGUCAUUAUCGUCCCGGAUAAAAGAGCUUUACAACCCUAAGGCCUUCAUCACUCACGCGGCAUGGCUGGAUCAGGCUUGCGCCCAUUGUCCAAUAUUCCCCACUGCUGCCUCCCGUAGGAGUCUGGGCCGUGUCUCAGUUCCAGUGUGGCUGAUCAUCCUCUCAGACCAGCUACUGAUCGUCGCCUUGGUGAGCCGUUACCUCACCAACUAGCUAAUCAGACGCGGGCCGAUCCUCCGGCAGCAAGCCUUUCCCAAAAGGCUAUCCGGUAUUAGCUCAAGUUUCCCUGAGUUAUUCCGAACCAGAGGGCACGUUCCCACGCGUUACUCACCCGUCCGCCGCUCGACACCCGAAAGUCGCCCGCUCGACUUGCAUGUGUUAAGCCUGCCGCCAGCGUUCGCUCUGACGCCAGGAUCAAACGUCU
This 456-nucleotide ribosomal RNA is filed under the name uncultured Methylobacterium sp. RNAcentral describes it as "partial 16S ribosomal RNA". Lineage: Bacteria; Pseudomonadati; Pseudomonadota; Alphaproteobacteria; Hyphomicrobiales; Methylobacteriaceae. The record is from RNAcentral.